Molecule: ribosomal RNA, 497 nt
Filed under: uncultured bacterium
Lineage: Bacteria
Description: partial 16S ribosomal RNA
Rfam family: Bacterial small subunit ribosomal RNA
Source: RNAcentral
GAUGAACGCUGGCGGCGUGCCUAAUACAUGCAAGUCGAGCGAACAGACGAGGAGCUUGCUCCUCUGACGUUAGCGGCGGACGGGUGAGUAACACGUGGAUAACCUACCUAUAAGACUGGGAUAACUUCGGGAAACCGGAGCUAAUACCGGAUAAUAUAUUGAACCGCAUGGUUCAAUAGUGAAAGACGGUUUUGCUGUCACUUAUAGAUGGAUCCGCGCCGCAUUAGCUAGUUGGUAAGGUAACGGCUUACCAAGGCGACGAUGCGUAGCCGACCUGAGAGGGUGAUCGGCCACACUGGAACUGAGACACGGUCCAGACUCCUACGGGAGGCAGCAGUGGGGAAUCUUCGGCAAUGGGCGAAAGCCUGACGGAGCAACGCCGCGUGAGUGAUGAAGGUCUUCGGAUCGUAAAACUCUGUUAUUAGGGAAGAACAAAUGUGUAAGUAACUAUGCACGUCUUGACGGUACCUAAUCAGAAAGCCACGGCUAACUACGUG